RNAcentral lists this transfer RNA (69 nucleotides) under Marmota monax (woodchuck). Its description in RNAcentral is "tRNA.Ser". It matches the Rfam family "tRNA". Rfam says of the family: Transfer RNA (tRNA) molecules are approximately 80 nucleotides in length. Their secondary structure includes four short double-helical elements and three loops (D, anti-codon, and T loops). Further hydrogen bonds mediate the characteristic L-shaped molecular structure. tRNAs have two regions of fundamental functional importance: the anti-codon, which is responsible for specific mRNA codon recognition, and the 3' end, to which the tRNAs corresponding amino acid is attached (by aminoacyl-tRNA synthetases). tRNAs cope with the degeneracy of the genetic code in two manners: having more than one tRNA (with a specific anti-codon) for a particular amino acid; and 'wobble' base-pairing, i.e. permitting non-standard base-pairing at the 3rd anti-codon position. Lineage: Eukaryota; Metazoa; Chordata; Mammalia; Rodentia; Sciuridae. The record is from RNAcentral.
GGGAUGUGGCUUAGUCGUAGAGCUCUUGCCUACUAUAUAUGAGGCCCUGGGUUCAAUCCCAGUAUCACA